RNAcentral lists this ribosomal RNA (497 nucleotides) under uncultured bacterium. RNAcentral describes it as "partial 16S ribosomal RNA". It matches the Rfam family "Bacterial small subunit ribosomal RNA", at positions 28 to 507 of the family's 1533-position model. The record is from RNAcentral.
GAUGAACGCUGGCGGCGUGCCUAAUACAUGCAAGUCGAGCGAACGGACGAGAAGCAUGCUUUUCUGAUGUUAGCGGCGGACGGGUGAGUAACACGUGGAUAACCUACCUAUAAGACUGGGAUAACUUCGGGAAACCGGAGCUAAUACCGGAGAAUAUUUUGAACCGCAUGGGUCAAAAGUGAAAGACGGUCUUGCUGUCACUAAUAGAUGGAAACGCGCUGCAUUAGAUAGUUGGUAAGGUAACGGCUUACCAAGGGAACGAUGCAUAGCCGACCUGAGAGCGUGAACGGCCUGACCGGAACUGAGACACGGCCAAGACGCCACCGGGAGGCGGCCGAGGCGAAUCCUGCGCAAUGGGGGAAAGACUGACGCGGCAACGGCGAGUGAGUGAUGAAGCACUUCCGAGCGUAAAACUCUGUUAUUAGGGAUGAACAUCUGUGUACGUAACUGUGCACAUCUUGACGGUACCUAAUCAGAAAGCAACGGCUAACUACGUG